Molecule: unclassified non-coding RNA, 89 nt
Filed under: Pseudomonas mediterranea
Lineage: Bacteria; Pseudomonadati; Pseudomonadota; Gammaproteobacteria; Pseudomonadales; Pseudomonadaceae
Source: RNAcentral
CGUGGGAGCGAGCCUGCUCGCGAUGACGUCGUGUCAGUCACAUUACUCUCGACUGACCGACCGCCAUCGCGAGCAGGCUCGCUCCCACA